UCUUAAACAUCAUUGAAUUAGAAAUUAAUAUUAUAUAAUUAUAUAAGUUUUUGGCAGUUGAGUGUACGUAAAUAUCUGUUAUUAGAAUAGUUUAUAAUUUGACGUUUGUUCACGGUUUGAUGAGUAUCUAAAAAUAAACAACUUUGUGCGAUACUGCCAGCCAAUAAAAUUGAGGCAAAUUAACAUACGUUUUUACAAGAGAGAGAAAGAAAAAAGGAGAGAGAAGAACUUGUUUAUAUUUAUCAGAAGCUACCAUUUAUCAUUGACCUGUCGUGAAGAGAAGAGGUAGACCACAACGAUUUGGAUCGCGAUCUGACGAUUAAAACAGCAUCACGAUAUUAAUAACAAAAGUUGCAUUAAAAAAAUUGGAUAAGGAGGACUACGUUCUCAAAUUUUAUUGAAGUUUAAAUAAGAAAUUCCUAAAUAAAUAUUCAUGAUGUGUUUUACUAGAUUAAUGCAAAUCUUAAUGCAAACGUUUCGUUGGUUACAUUCGUUCGUAACAAGUAUUGCUGAUAUCGGUAUUAAAACUAGUAUUGCUUUGGUGCUAUUUAUAUCAGUUUUUAUGGUAUUAAUACCAAUUAGUGAGACAGAUACUAAAGUCGAUACAAGUAAUAACAUUCAGAUCAUUAAAUUGAAAGAUAAGGUGGAAAGUAUUCCAAAAACACCUACACGUUGGAUGAAAAUAUUUGAAGAUAUAUUAUAUAUGACGAUAUUUAUAUUAUUUGUGUUUUUGUGUUGCUUCGGAUUUAUUAAAUGGCUGUUAAAUAUUUUAAUUAUGAUAUGCACUAGAAAUGGCCGUACGUUACUAUAUCAAAAUAUUCGGAAUGCUUUCAACCCUGAUGAGUCAGAUAGUGAUGAUUCUAUAGGUGGCCGUUACCUAUAACAAGAUAAUAAAAUUUAUUGGAAUGACAAUGCAAUGAAAUACGUAAAUAAAAUAUGAACGGUAAAUUAUAGGCAGAGUUUAUCUUAAAUUGGUACGUUUUAAAUCGGUACACUCGAGAAAUAAUAUAAGCAUGCAAACAAGUAUCGAUAUGAGUAUAAGAUUUUUGAAAAUUAAAUGACCAAAUUUUAGAAAUAAAUUCUAUUCAUUAUAUAAAUGAGAAAUUAAUUCUAUUCAUUAUAUAAAUGAGAAACAUUUAUAUAAACGUGAUUUUAGGAACGCUUCUCUUUUAAAUUAUAAACACUUUCUGUUUACGAUAAAGUUUGGCAAGAACAUUUUGAAAAAAAAGGUGCAAAAAAUAAUUUUAUUUUCACAAAUAUUUACUUUCUAUCAACGUCUUAUCAACUAUUUAAAAUGUUUAAAAAUUUUUAGAAGAUUUGAGAUUUUAUAACACGAAAUAAUAAUACAAUUUCAAAUUUUUUCCAAAUGGCAAUAAAAUAGCAAAACGAGAAUCAGUAAUAAUUUUAUAAAACCUUCUAAAUAAAAAUCUAAAAAUUUUAAAACAUUCAAUUUAAAUGG
This is a long non-coding RNA of Cataglyphis hispanica, 1459 nucleotides long. RefSeq lists it as uncharacterized. The transcript is spliced from 4 exons. Lineage: Eukaryota; Metazoa; Arthropoda; Insecta; Hymenoptera; Formicidae. The record is from RefSeq and is a predicted model, not a curated record.